Small nuclear RNA from Fukomys damarensis (Damara mole-rat), 104 nucleotides. Lineage: Eukaryota; Metazoa; Chordata; Mammalia; Rodentia; Bathyergidae. The record is from Ensembl.
GUGCUUGCUUCAGCAGCACAGAUACUAAAAUUGGGACAAUACAGAGAUUGGCAUGGCCCCUGCUCAAGGAUGAUACACAAAUUCGUGAAGUGUUCCAUAUUUUU